AGAGGAGAAAAAAGGAAGGAGGAAGUAACUUGUGGAAUGCUGAGAAAGGUUUUCCAAUUGAGUGACUGCAGUUCCCACUCUAAAAUCAGGCGUACAAGAGAGCACACAACUCUUCAAGGAUACUGGUGCUCCCCUCACAAAAGUAUUUCACAAAGUAUUGGUGAACGGUGUGUAUUCUGAACCCUCCCAGUUGAGCAAUUUCGGCCCUUUGUCUACUGAAGAGAAGAUUUUCACCCAGGGCACACUUGGAAACUUUCAGGUUAUGUAUGUGCUUCUGGAGCCAGGAGCUAGAAUCCCUGAACUCAUCCCUUUUUUUCACCACUUUGUCCAGUAAACGUAGGAGCAAUCAACUUCAUUAUAUUCUUGGGUUCUCCACGAAUGUUCAAAGAAGAAGCCAUUUAGAUUUUACAGAAAUGUAGCUCCUCAUAUAUUAUAUUGUUCCUAUGAAGAAUUAGAUUGAAUAAAGCUGCUUUGAAUAAAGCUCGUAUUACCAGCUACCACAUGUGAUGGAAAGAAUCCAAGUUAAACACUCUCACCAGAGCAUGCUCCAAGACAGAUGACUGAGCCCCAGGCUUGGCCAAUACAAUGCACUUCUAUUCUCUAUUUAUUUUUGUAGUUCAAAGACCUGGCAGUAACCCACUUGAUGCCUGCCAUAAGGACCAGUACACUCCUGAUUACUGCCCAGCGAUUUUAUAUCUGUAUGCCAGCUACUCAGACCACGUAUAAAGACUAGGGGGAUUUUUUGAAAGGAAAAGAAACCCCAGCUUCCACUUAUACUUUGAAAUUUCAGAUGAUAUACUGCCAACUUACAGACCUUGCUUUAAUCAGCAGCCACAUGAAAAGGCUGUUUCUAUUUACUCUAGGUCAUUUAGGAAACAAGCAAUAAGUAGGCCGUGCAAAAUUUCAGCUUCUCUUAAAGUUGGCAUGUUUUCCUCAAAUAGAGAGUUGAAUCUUGAUUUCAUUUUCUGAGUAGAAAUAUUUACAAUCCUGUCAUACAUGAAGUUUAGCCUUCCUUCUGUCUAACAACAAAUAGGCUUUUUAAAGAAUGCUUAGUGUUAAACUGGAGGCUGUUUUGUAAAGGUUACUCAGAAAAGGAACCUAUGGGCCAGGCAUGGUGGCUCAUGUCCGUAAUCCUAGCACUUUCGGAGGAGCCCAAGGUAUGUAAAAGAAGGCGAGAAAUGAAAAGGAAAGAAAAAUGAAAAUAAUGGGGA
Molecule: long non-coding RNA, 1211 nt
Organism: Gorilla gorilla gorilla (western lowland gorilla)
Lineage: Eukaryota; Metazoa; Chordata; Mammalia; Primates; Hominidae
Exons: 7
Source: RefSeq, a predicted model, not a curated record